AGUGAACGCUGGCGGUAGGCCUAACACAUGCAAGUCGAACGGCAGCACAGUAAGAGCUUGCUCUUACGGGUGGCGAGUGGCGGACGGGUGAGGAAUACAUCGGAAUCUACUUUUUCGUGGGGGAUAACGUAGGGAAACUUACGCUAAUACCGCAUACGACCUACGGGUGAAAGCAGGGGAUCUUCGGACCUUGCGCGAUUGAAUGAGCCGAUGUCGGAUUAGCUAGUUGGCGGGGUAAAGGCCCACCAAGGCGACGAUCCGUAGCUGGUCUGAGAGGAUGAUCAGCCACACUGGAACUGAGACACGGUCCAGACUCCUACGGGAGGCAGCAGUGGGGAAUAUUGGACAAUGGGCGCAAGCCUGAUCCAGCCAUACCGCGUGGGUGAAGAAGGCCUUCGGGCUGUAAAGCCCUUUUGUUGGGAAAGAAAAGCAGCAGGUUAAUACCCCGCUGUUCUGACGGUACCCAAAGAAUAAGCACCGGCUAACUUCGUA
Molecule: ribosomal RNA, 492 nt
Filed under: uncultured bacterium
Lineage: Bacteria
Description: partial 16S ribosomal RNA
Rfam family: Bacterial small subunit ribosomal RNA
Source: RNAcentral